CAGCCGUAAACUAAUGCGCGUUAGGUGUAUCGGUGACCACGAGUCACCGAGGUGCCGAAGGGAAACCGUGAAACGUGCCGCCUGGGAAGUACGGUCGCAAGGCUGAAACUUAAAGGAAUUGGCGGGGGGAGGCACCACAACGGGUGGAGCCUGCGGUUUAAUUGGACUCAACGCCGGGAAGCUCACCGGAUAGGACAGCAGAAUGAUUGCCGGGCUGAAGACCCUGCAUGACUAGCUGAGAGGAGGUGCAUGGCGUAGACGUCU
Molecule: ribosomal RNA, 264 nt
Filed under: uncultured archaeon
Lineage: Archaea
Description: partial 16S ribosomal RNA
Rfam family: Archaeal small subunit ribosomal RNA
Source: RNAcentral